RNAcentral lists this ribosomal RNA (422 nucleotides) under uncultured bacterium. RNAcentral describes it as "bacterial SSU rRNA". It matches the Rfam family "Bacterial small subunit ribosomal RNA", at positions 355 to 774 of the family's 1533-position model. The record is from RNAcentral.
UGAGGAAUAUUGGUCAAUGGGGGCAACCCUGAACCAGCCAAGUCGCGUGAAGGAUGAAGGUCUUAUGGAUUGUAAACUUCUUUUACACGGGAAUAAAGCGGGGGACGUGUCCCUCUUUGCAUGUACCGUGUGAAUAAGGAUCGGCUAACUCCGUGCCAGCAGCCGCGGUAAUACGGAGGAUCCGAGCGUUAUCCGGAUUUAUUGGGUUUAAAGGGUGCGUAGGCGGCGAUAUAAGUCAGUGGUGAAAUAUUUCGGCUUAACCGAGAGACUGCCAUUGAUACUGUGUUGCUAGAAUAUGGUUGCUGUGAGUGGAAUGUGUGGUGUAGCGGUGAAAUGCUUAGAUAUCACACAGAAUAUCGAUUGCGAAGGCAGCUCACAAAGCCAUUAUUGACGCUGAGGCACGAAAGUGUGGGGAUCAAACA